UUAUUUUCUUCUACGACUAUUUUAGUUGCUCUCUUCUUCUUUUUAACUGUUCCUUAUGCUUAGUUUAGUUGUUUUCUGCGACUGUUUUGGCCUGUGAAAGAAUCAGGUUUUUUAAAUCCUGAUAUUGGAUUGGAAUAUUUCAAUCUCCGGUUUAUAAUGAAACAAGAAAAAAAAAUCUUGCAGCAAUUGAUUGUUUGAUUUUUUUAACGAGAUGGGGCUCAUUUAUUUUUUCUAACUUUUCUUGUGACAAACUUUUUCCUUCAAAGGGCAAUGAUGAUGUUGACGGGUUUUUAUUUUUAUUUUUUAUCUUUGUUGUUUUUCACAUCCAUUCCAUGUUCUAUGAGUUUAUAUGAAGAUCGAGUUACAUAUGUUUGCUAUUCUUAAUUGAUGUUGGUUUCACUACUCUAUAUUUAGAUUGUUAAGUAGUUUCAUUAAGUGAGUUUGUAUCUUGUUAACUCUUGACAUUAACUCAGUGAAGCACUUUAAGAAUAAAAGUAUAUCUACAUGAUGACCUAUUGGUGGAUGAAUGCACAUUUCUAGGUUGUGGUGUAUAAACUUGUAAAUCAUUAGGCUCCUUUUCAGAGAUUAUCUACUUUGUUCCAGUCACAUGUGAUGAAUAUCUCCUGUUUUGUCCCCUUACUGUUGCCAGUUGUUGAGAAAAUGAAUUGCAAUUUUUAUACCACAGAAAUUAGCUGGUGGAGUUUUGUUGCCCAAAUCAGCUGUCAAGUUUGAUGAGGGAGAUAGUUUUGGUCGGUGCUGAAGUAGGAAAAGUUGAGCCGGGAAAGAAGAUAAACGAAUUCAGGAAUUUUUUGAGCAAUCUCAUGCAAAGUGAUGCUUGUCAAAAUGUUGCCAUUUUUGUGGAUUUGGGAAUAGAUACUGGCAUUUCAUUUCUAUAAGACAGUUUUUAUAGCAAAAAGGCCAAGUUAUAGUUUUGGAAAGCAAACGAUGAUCGUUGUUGCUACAAUGACGAUACAAAAUUUUAUCUGAAAACAUGUCGGUCGAAAUGAUGCAGAUUUUAUGGAAUACGAAAAUAUUAAUAGGGUAUAUGAGAAUAUUAUUGAUUCAGAAAAUGUGCAUGGUGGAGAAAGUGAUGAUGAUGGUGGUGGUGGUGGUGAAUCAAACAAUUCAAGUGGUUUUGAAAUGGAAUUAACAAGAUGCUAUAGCUUCUAGUUUAAGGAAUUCACUUUAAAUUGUAAAUACUAAUGUAAAUUUUUUAGUAUUUAUAUUUUGUAUAUAAAUAUUAUCCCUUUUUGAAA
Long non-coding RNA from Gossypium raimondii (Peruvian cotton), 1256 nucleotides. RefSeq lists it as uncharacterized. NCBI's taxonomy places the organism in Eukaryota, Viridiplantae, Streptophyta, Magnoliopsida, Malvales, Malvaceae. The record is from RefSeq and is a predicted model, not a curated record. The transcript has 3 exons.